GACGAACGCUGGCGGUGUGCUUAACACAUGCAAGUCGAACGGCAGGGUCCUGCUUUUGUGGGGUGACCGAGUGGCGACCGGGUGCGUAACACGAGAGUAACCUGCACUUGCCUUUGGGAUGACUUCAAGCCACUGGGGCUAAUACCGGAUCGGAGCUCCUGCUGCCUGGUGGGGGUUGGAAAGUUUCGGCGGAGUGGGAUGGACUCGAGGCUUAUGAGCUGGUUGGUGGGGUGGUGGCUUACCAAGGCUUUAGCGGGUGGCCGGCCCGAGAGGGUGACCGGCCACAGUGGGACUGUGAUACGGCCCAGAGUCCUACGGGAGGCAGCAGUGGGGAAGAGUGCACGAUGGGCGGAAGUCUGAUGCAGCAACGCCGCGUUCGGGAUGACGGCCUUCUGGUUGUAGACCGCUUCCGCCGGUAACGAUGCGUGAGUGACGGUAAUGGGUAAAUAAGCACCGGCUAACUACGUG
Molecule: ribosomal RNA, 468 nt
Filed under: uncultured bacterium
Lineage: Bacteria
Description: partial 16S ribosomal RNA
Rfam family: Bacterial small subunit ribosomal RNA
Source: RNAcentral